ACUCCUACGGGAGGCAGCAGUGGGUAAUAUUGCACAAUGGGGCCAAGCCUGAUGCAGCCAUGCCGCGUGUAUGAAGAAGGCCUUCGGGUUGUAAAGUACUUUCAGCGGGGAGGAAGGUGAGAGGUCAUCCCUCAGCAAUGACGUACC
RNAcentral lists this ribosomal RNA (147 nucleotides) under uncultured Enterobacter sp. RNAcentral describes it as "partial 16S ribosomal RNA". It matches the Rfam family "Bacterial small subunit ribosomal RNA", at positions 335 to 479 of the family's 1533-position model. The record is from RNAcentral. Lineage: Bacteria; Pseudomonadati; Pseudomonadota; Gammaproteobacteria; Enterobacterales; Enterobacteriaceae.